GACGAACGCUGGCGGCGUGCUUAACACAUGCAAGUCGAACGGAAAGGCCCUUCGGGGUACUCGAGUGGCGAACGGGUGAGUCACACGUGGGUGAUCUGCCCUGCACUUUGGGAUAAGCCUGGGAAACUGGGUCUAAUACCGAAUAUGAUCAUCGGCUUCAUGGUCGGUGGUGGAAAGCUUUUGCGGUGUGGGAUGGGCCCGCGGCCUAUCAGCUUGUUGGUGGGGUAAUGGCCUACCAAGGCGACGACGGGUAGCCGGCCUGAGAGGGUGACCGGCCACACUGGGACUGAGAUACGGCCCAGACUCCUACGGGAGGCAGCAGUGGGGAAUAUUGCACAAUGGGCGCAAGCCUGAUGCAGCGACGCCGCGUGAGGGAUGACGGCCUUCGGGUUGUAAACCUCUUUCAGCACAGACGAAGCGAAAGUGACGGUAUGUGCAGAAGAAGGACCGGCCAACUACGUG
Molecule: ribosomal RNA, 462 nt
Filed under: uncultured bacterium
Lineage: Bacteria
Description: partial 16S ribosomal RNA
Rfam family: Bacterial small subunit ribosomal RNA
Source: RNAcentral